GACGAACGCUGGCGGCGUGCUUAACACAUGCAAGUCGAACGGAAAGGCCCUGCUUUUGUGGUGUGCUCGAGUGUUAAACGGGUGCGUAACACUUGAGUAACCUGCCCUUGCCUUUGGGUUAACUUCAGCAAACUGGGGCUACUACCAGAUACGGGCUCCUUCUGCUUGGUGGGUGUUUGAUAGUUUCGGGGGUAGGGGAUGGGCUCGCGGCUUAUCACCUUGUUUGGUGGGUAGUGUCUUACCAAGGCUUUGACGGGUAGCCGGCCUGAGCGGGUGGGCGGCCACAUUGGGACGGAGAUGAGGCCCAGACUACUACGGGAGGCAGGAGUGGGGAAGAUUGCACAAGGGGAGGAAGCCUGAUGCAGCAAAGCAGCGUGGGGGAUGACGGCAAUCGGGUUGGAAACCGAAUUCGCCUGAGAGGAAGCGUGAGUGACGGUAAUGGGUAAAGAAGCACCGGCUAACUACGUG
RNAcentral lists this ribosomal RNA (468 nucleotides) under uncultured bacterium. RNAcentral describes it as "partial 16S ribosomal RNA". It matches the Rfam family "Bacterial small subunit ribosomal RNA", at positions 28 to 507 of the family's 1533-position model. The record is from RNAcentral.